UAAUCAUUGGAAACGAUGACUAAUACCGCAUACGGUUCCCGGGAGGCAUCUUCCGGGAAAGAAAGGAUUUAUUCGGUGCAGGAUGGGCCCGCAUCUGAUUAGCUAGUUGGUGAGAUAACAGCUCACCAAGGCGACGAUCAGUAGCCGACCUGAGAGGGUGACCGGCCACAUUGGGACUGAGACACGGCCCAAACUCCUACGGGAGGCAGCAGUGGGGAAUAUUGCACAAUGGGCGAAAGCCUGAUGCAGCAACGCCGCGUGAAGGAAGAAGGGUUUCGGCUCGUAAACUUCUAUCAACAGGGACGAAAGAAAUGACGGUACCUGAAUAAGAAGCCCCGGCUAACUACGUGCCAGCAGCCGCGGUAAUACGUAGGGGGCAAGCGUUAUCCGGAAUUACUGGGUGUAAAGGGUGAGUAGGCGACAUGGUAAGCCAGAUGUGAAAGCCUUGGGCUUAACCCAAGGAUUGCAUUUGGAACUAUCAAGCUAGAGUACAGGAGAGGAAAGCGGAAUUCCUAGUGUAGCGGUGAAAUGCGUAGAUAUUAGGAAGAACACCAGUGGCGAAGGCGGCUUUCUGGACUGAAACUGACGCUGAGGCACGAAAGCGUGGGGAGCGAACAGGAUUAGAUACCCUGGUAGU
Molecule: ribosomal RNA, 637 nt
Filed under: uncultured bacterium
Lineage: Bacteria
Description: bacterial SSU rRNA
Rfam family: Bacterial small subunit ribosomal RNA
Source: RNAcentral